Cervus elaphus (red deer) is the source of this 951-nucleotide long non-coding RNA. RefSeq lists it as uncharacterized. The record is from RefSeq and is a predicted model, not a curated record. Lineage: Eukaryota; Metazoa; Chordata; Mammalia; Artiodactyla; Cervidae. The transcript has 3 exons.
UUGGUGUGUUUUUCUUCCAUUUAAAAUCACAGUGCUAUGAAGUAGAAGUCCAGGUGGCACUAUUGGCGAAGAAUCCACAUGCCAAAGGAGGAGACAUAAGAGACAUGGGUUCAAUCCCUGAUUUGGGAAGAUCCUUUGGAGGAGAGCAUGGCAACUUACUCCAGUAGUCUUACCUGGAGAAUCCCAUGGACAGAGGAGCCUGGUGGGCUGUGACACAGAAGUCAAUUAUCUGGAUGUGGCAACUGAGGCUCCAAGAAGUGGAAGUAACUUUCUCAAGAUCAUAUAACUAGUAAAGGCCAAAGCUGGAAUUUGAACCAAAGCCUGACUGGACACAAGAUGCUGUGUUCCAUUACAAGUCUCCACACUGCUGUGAAGGUGGCCAGGUGGGACACAUCCUAUCAGCAAGCAGAGAGAAGAAGCAUAGGGUCCAGGGAAGAUGGAACUGAAAGGACAGUCUUCUGUUUAAGGAAGGUGCCACAGCGUGAUCAAGGGGUGAGAGCAGGACUGCAGAAAUGUCUACACCAGGAACCAGGGUUCACAGGCACCAUCAGACACUCCAGUGCUUGAAAGGGCACUGGGAAAUGACACAUGAGGGUUAGGAACCACUCGAAGUGGCAGAAAAUCCACCUCGACCCCACUUCACCAGAGAGGGUUCGUCUGCAAAACUGGGGAGGAGGAGUGAGAUCGAGUCAAACUCAAUCGUGGGGCAGCGGGGACUAAGCAGACACUUUAUACUGUCCUUGGAAUGUGAUCAAAGCCCCUAAAUGUAUUAGGCUGAUCCCCUAAUGCAGCCCGCCACAAGGAAGGCUUGGUAUCUCUCCUGUCUCCUCCCUCACUCUUUUUGACCAGCUGCGGGGAGUAACUGAGUUCAUUGCCUGAGAGAAUUAGGUCAGACCAGAGCUGAAUAUCAAGCUGACAGAGGGGAGUUUGGUGCCAAUGUUGAUUAAACGA